UGGGGAAUAUUGCACAAUGGGGGAAACCCUGAUGCAGCGACGCCGCGUGAACGAAGAAGGUAUUCGUAUCGUAAAGUUCUGUCCUAUGGGAAGAUAAUGACAGUACCAUAGAAGAAAGCUCCGGCUAAAUACUUGCCAGCAGCCGCGGUAAUACGUAUGGAGCGAGCGUUGUCCGGAAUUAUUGGGCGUAAAGGGUACGCAGGCGGUUUAAUAAGUCGAAUGUUAAAGAUCGGGGCUCAACCCCGUAAAGCAUUGGAAACUGAUAAACUUGAGUAGUGGAGAGGAAAGUGGAAUUCCUAGUGUAGUGGUGAAAUACGUAGAUAUUAGGAGGAAUACCAGUAGCGAAGGCGACUUUCUGGACACAAACUGACGCUGAGGUACGAAAGCGUGGGGAGCAAACAGG
This 403-nucleotide ribosomal RNA is filed under the name bacterium. RNAcentral describes it as "partial 16S ribosomal RNA". It matches the Rfam family "Bacterial small subunit ribosomal RNA", at positions 355 to 776 of the family's 1533-position model. The record is from RNAcentral.